RNAcentral lists this ribosomal RNA (435 nucleotides) under uncultured bacterium. Its description in RNAcentral is "partial 16S ribosomal RNA". It matches the Rfam family "Bacterial small subunit ribosomal RNA", at positions 29 to 507 of the family's 1533-position model. The record is from RNAcentral.
AGCGAACGCUGGCGGCAGGCUUAACACAUGCAAGUCGAGCGGGCACUUUCGGGUGUCCGCGGCGGACGGGUGAGUAACGCGUGGGAACAUGCCCUCUGGUUCGGAAUAACUCAGGGAAACUUGAGCUAAUACCGGAUACGCCCUUUUGGGGAAAGGCUUGCUGCCGGAGGAUCGGCCCGCGUCUGAUUAGCUAGUUGGUGAGGUAACGGCUCACCAAGGCGACGAUCAGUAGCUGGUCUGAGAGGAUGAUCAGCCACACUGGGACUGAGACACGGCCCAGACUCCUACGGGAGGCAGCAGUGGGGAAUAUUGGACAAUGGGCGCAAGCCUGAUCCAGCCAUGCCGCGUGAGUGAUGAAGGCCUUAGGGUUGUAAAGCUCUUUUAUCCGGGACGAUAAUGACGGUACCGGAGGAAUAAGCCCCGGCUAACUUCGUG